Molecule: transfer RNA, 69 nt
Filed under: Apsilochorema hwangi
Lineage: Eukaryota; Metazoa; Arthropoda; Insecta; Trichoptera; Hydrobiosidae
Description: tRNA-Arg
Source: RNAcentral
AAAUAAGAAGUAAAAAAUCCUUACAUUUAAUUUCGACUUAAAAUUUGGGACCCGCGCUCCCCUUAUUUA